AGUGGGGAAUAUUGCACAAUGGGGGAAACCCUGAUGCAGCCAUGCCGCGUGUGUGAAGAAGGCCCUAGGGUUGUAAAGCACUUUCAGUAGGGAGGAAAGGGUGUUGAUUAAUACUCAACAUCUGUGACGUUACCUACAGAAGAAGCACCGGCUAACUUCGUGCCAGCAGCCGCGGUAAUACGAGGGGUGCAAGCGUUAAUCGGAAUUACUGGGCGUAAAGCGUGCGUAGGCGGUUUGUUAAGCAAGAUGUGAAAGCCCAGGGCUCAACCUUGGAACUGCAUUUUGAACUGGCAAACUAGAGUACUGUAGAGGGUGGUGGAAUUUCCAGUGUAGCGGUGAAAUGCGUAGAGAUUGGAAGGAACAUCAGUGGCGAAGGCGGCCACCUGGACAGAUACUGACGCUGAGGCACGAAAGCGUGGGGAGCAAA
This 427-nucleotide ribosomal RNA is filed under the name uncultured Litorilituus sp. RNAcentral describes it as "bacterial SSU rRNA". It matches the Rfam family "Bacterial small subunit ribosomal RNA", at positions 353 to 772 of the family's 1533-position model. The record is from RNAcentral. Lineage: Bacteria; Pseudomonadati; Pseudomonadota; Gammaproteobacteria; Alteromonadales; Colwelliaceae.